UGACCUCACAUCAGCCGUGAGUACCCACUGAACUAAAGCGUAUAAAAGAGCGGAGAAAAUAGAUUUACCAGCAUUUCCUCGGUAACUGCUUGUGAGAGGAGAGAGCUGAGGUCUGAAAUCUACGGCAGUUUUGCUGAUAGGCCAUGUAGUGUGUGAGUCGAUCAUCACUCCACUCGAAGACCAACACCGAAAAUGGUUAUUACUUGAUUUGCCUCAUAGAAGAUGAGAGGCCCGUGUGGGUGGAGAUUCAGACAUUUGUGACGAUUUACCAAUCUAGCCUCAGAGUCGGGUUGUUUGAGAUUGCAAUCCAAAGAUUUCGGCAAACUCCAUUCUAAGUAUUGCCAAAACUGCGAAAGCAAACCAGCCCCAUAUGAGAAAGUUGAAAAGUUGUUGGAAAAGAAAAUACUCUACGUGAAGAUGGAUGUAAGUUGUGCUUUGUACCCGGACAAUCUAGCUAACUGGAAUGUGGUGUAGGCGCAACUGGUGCGUCUGGAGGUAGGAAUAAGACGUGAUGUGAUGAGGUUCACUUCUCUGCUGUGAUAAAUAUCUCAACAUUGCAAUUCAAUCAAUACUUGACAUCUAUCACUAGCAUAAAUUCAAAUAAGCAGGGGAAAAUCAUUGGUUUUUCUGAACAAUCAAAUGCAGGAUCAUGCUUUUAUGCUUAUCAAUUUAGUUUUCCUGCUCAGUGCAGUAAGUAGUUCAA
Molecule: non-coding RNA, 703 nt
Filed under: Hymenolepis diminuta
Lineage: Eukaryota; Metazoa; Platyhelminthes; Cestoda; Cyclophyllidea; Hymenolepididae
Description: Eukaryotic large subunit ribosomal RNA
Rfam family: Eukaryotic large subunit ribosomal RNA
Source: Rfam by way of RNAcentral